UUUUUUUUUUUUUUUUUUUGAUAUAGAGUCUCACUCUGUGGUCCAGGCUGAAGUACAGUGGCAUGAUCCCAGGUCACUGCAACCCCCACCUCCCGGGUUCAAGUGAUCCUCCUGCCUCAGCCUCCCGAGUAGCUGGUAUUACAGGCGUGUGCCACAAAGCCUGGCUAAGUUUUGUAUUUUUAGUAGAGACGGGGUUUCACCAUGUUGGCCAGGUUGGUCUCGAACUCCUGACCUCAAGUGAUCCACUCACUUUGGCCUUUCAACGUGCUGGGAUUACAGGCGAGAGUCACCGCACCCGGACGACUCUGACAUUUUUGAAGAGUCCAGAAUCCUGUUACACCUGGGAUUUAGGCACUUUCAAUCUGAAAAAAUACAUAUCCUUUCAGCACUCUGGACGGACUUGAGAACUGUCCUUACGUGACCUAAAGCUGGAGUAUUUUGAGAUUGGAGAAUUAAGGCCAACAGAGAUUUUGAGAAACACAUUGAAGGAUCUGUUAACACUUGAUAUACCCAAUAAAAGCAGUGGUUGUGCCAGUGCUGAUCUGUCUUGAUGUGAAUGUGAACAAUGGGAACCUGAGCUGAGCAGUUAAUGCUAGGGUGACAGAAACUGGACCUCUCCCAAGACAUGUGACAGAGUAAUACAGCAGCCAACUUCUUCGCCAAAUUAAAGUUUUACAAGAUUUAACCUGUCAUCAAGACCUGGGAUUUUGGUGAGCCAGUCUUGGUGCUCUGUGUUCACCUGGUUCAUCUGAGGAGCUGCAUCUACCCUGCCCAUGCCAUAGAUCCUGCCCUGUUUGCUUCUCCUGUUGCUGCUAGUGGACAUGAGGUAACCACAGCCUAGUUCUGUGAUAAGCUCUUCACACCUGUACCCAUAUGGACUGUGGGAGAGUUUCUCUGAUAUGGACUGUGAUGCGGAAGGACAGAAUAACGGGCUCCCAGAUUCACAAGCCCCACCAAGAGGAUCACCCCAGGAACGCUUGGAGGCUGAGGAGUUCACUGAGGCUACUGCAUCUUGAGACUCAGGAUGAAGACCCAGCUUGGGGCUGUCAAAGGUUUUUUGCAUGUCUGACACCCAUGACUCCACCUGGACCUUAUGGCUCCACCCAGAAGCAAUUCAGCCCAACAGGAGGACAGCUUCAACCCAUUACGAUUUCAUCUCUGCCCCAACCACUCAGCAGCAAGCACCUGUUACCUGUCCACCCCCACCCCUUCCCCCAAACUGCCUUUGAAAAAUCCCUAACCUAUGAGCUUUGAAUAAGAUGAGUACGAACUUCAUCGCCCACGUGGCGUGGCCGGCCUCGUGUCUAUUAAAUUCUUUUUCUACUACAA
This 1329-nucleotide long non-coding RNA is filed under the name Homo sapiens (human). Its description in RNAcentral is "Pvt1 oncogene". The stretch from base 328 to 457 matches the Rfam family "Pvt1 oncogene conserved region 5". The record is from RNAcentral. Lineage: Eukaryota; Metazoa; Chordata; Mammalia; Primates; Hominidae.